GAUGAACGCUAGCGAUAGGCCUAACACAUGCAAGUCGAGGGGCAGCACGGGAGCAAUCCUGGUGGCGACCGGCGCACGGGUGAGUAACACGUAUGCAACCUACCCAUAACUGGGGGAUAGCCCGUCGAAAGACGGAUUAAUACCGCAUAAAACAGGGGCUCCACAUGGAGAUAUUUGUUAAAGAUUUAUUGGUUAUGGAUGGGCAUGCGCAGGAUUAGGUAGUUGGUGAAGGUAACGGCUCACCAAGCCAUCGAUCCUUAGGGGAACUGAGAGGUUAAUCCCCCACACUGGUACUGAGACACGGACCAGACUCCUACGGGAGGCAGCAGUGAGGAAUAUUGGUCAAUGGACGAGAGUCUGAACCAGCCAAAUCGCGUGAAGGAAGACGGUAUUAUGUAUUGUAAACUUCUUUUAUCAGGGAAUAAAGUGCAUCACGUGUGGUGUUUUGUAUGUACCUGAUGAAUAAG
Molecule: ribosomal RNA, 467 nt
Filed under: uncultured Bacteroidales bacterium
Lineage: Bacteria; Pseudomonadati; Bacteroidota; Bacteroidia; Bacteroidales
Description: bacterial SSU rRNA
Rfam family: Bacterial small subunit ribosomal RNA
Source: RNAcentral